This 531-nucleotide ribosomal RNA is filed under the name uncultured bacterium. Its description in RNAcentral is "bacterial SSU rRNA". It matches the Rfam family "Bacterial small subunit ribosomal RNA", at positions 9 to 534 of the family's 1533-position model. The record is from RNAcentral.
GAGUUUGAUCAUGGCUCAGGAUGAACGCUAGCGGCAGGCCUAACACAUGCAAGUCGAGGGGCAGCACAAAUUAGUUUACUAAUUGGUGGCGACCGGCGCACGGGUGCGUAACGCGUAUGCAACCUACCCUGUACUGGGGGAUAGCCCGGAGAAAUUCGGAUUAAGACCCCAUAGUAUUACGGAAUCGCAUGGUUCUGUAAUUAAAGGUUACGGUACAGGAUGGGCAUGCGUCCUAUUAGCUAUAUGGUGAGGUAACGGCUCACCAUGGCUACGAUAGGUAGGGGGCCUGAGAGGGUGAUCCCCCACACUGGUACUGAGACACGGACCAGACUCCUACGGGAGGCAGCAGUGAGGAAUAUUGGUCAAUGGGCGAAAGCCUGAACCAGCCAUGCCGCGUGCAGGAAGACGGUCCUAUGGAUUGUAAACUGCUUUUAUUUGGGAAUAAACCUCUGGUCGUGACCGGAGCUGAAGGUACCAAAUGAAUAAGCACCGGCUAACUCCGUGCCAGCAGCCGCGGUAAUACGGAGGGUG